This 372-nucleotide ribosomal RNA is filed under the name uncultured organism. RNAcentral's name for it is "bacterial SSU rRNA". It matches the Rfam family "Bacterial small subunit ribosomal RNA", at positions 526 to 896 of the family's 1533-position model. The record is from RNAcentral.
CGUAGGGUGCGAGCGUUAAUCGGAAUUACUGGGCGUAAAGCGUGCGCAGGCGGUUUUGUAAGACAGGCGUGAAAUCCCCGGGCUCAACCUGGGAACUGCGCUUGUGACUGCAAGGCUAGAGUACGGCAGAGGGGGGUGGAACUCCACGUGUAGCAGUGAAAUGCGUAGAGAUGUGGAGGAACACCAAUGGCGAAGGCAGCCCCCUGGGUCGAUACUGACGCUCAUGCACGAAAGCGUGGGUAGCAAACAGGAUUAGAUACCCUGGUAGUCCACGCCCUAAACGAUGUCAACUAGGUGUUGGGUGGGUAAAACCAUUUAGUACCGGAGCUAACGCGUGAAGUUGACCGCCUGGGGAGUACGGCCGCAAGGUUA